This 1101-nucleotide long non-coding RNA is filed under the name Anas platyrhynchos platyrhynchos (common mallard). Its description in RNAcentral is "lncRNA (ENSAPLG00000018418.1)". Lineage: Eukaryota; Metazoa; Chordata; Aves; Anseriformes; Anatidae. The record is from RNAcentral.
ACAUGUAAAUUGGCACUAUGUAUUCAAAACAACAACAACAAUAAAACUUUUGUAAGAAGUUGAAUGGGAGAAGUAUCUGUAAUGGUGUAACAUUCAUUUCUAGGGCAAUAUUGUGAGAAACACUCUGUAGCCAAUAACUUAGGCUCAGGCGAGGAUCUCAGUGAAGUAGUAAUUUAUUUGCGAUUGCAAUGGCGGGCGCCCCACAAACAGGAGAGAGCGCAUCUACUAGUUCCAAAACACAGUUUAUAUACCUUUUGAUGGCAGGACCCUCCCCUGUUUCCCCACUGAGUGAGUAAUCCGGGUUCACAAUCUAUCUGAUGCUUCACAAACAAUGCAUGGCCUUCAGUUGCCGGCCUGCUAAAUUUCAAAUUUCUUUUGACAUUUUUACUGCUUGAAGUGGUCAUGUUUCUUCACUUAUCUGACUUGACUUGACACCGUGAUUUUCACCUAAUUGUCCUAAGGAGUCUGGUUGUCUGCAUUUUACUAGGUUGCCUGCUAAACUUUCUUAUCACUGUAAGCAUAUCUCAGUACCACAUUCCCUCCUUCUAAACAAUGUAACUCUGCAAAAACAACAUUUCUAUUCCCACGAUGGGGAAACAAAGGGAAAGCUGCUUACCUCUGAGAAGUCGUCCUUGAUCUUUGUGCCAUGGACAUUUGUCUUGAAUGCUAGGCACUUGAGUUUAGGGGUCCCCGUCCGUUGAAGGCUUACCUCGGGGAAGUCCUACAUUACAAAUGUAGGACUUUUUUCUGCCAGCAGGCAGUGGCAGAAAAUCCUGAGAAACGGCAGACACAUCCUCCCAAACCAUUUUCUCAAUAAUGGAAGCAGUGCGAACCGUGCUGAAAACCACAAAACACACCCCACGUUGUCUCAGGUAGGAAAUGACUGCCCUGAGCAACAUGCCCUUCCCAGGGUGAUCCCAAUGUAUCCAAGGCCUUAGGGGGAAGGCAGAAAAGGAACCCAAGGCUCUUAGUAGGUCUCCUGAGAAUCGCAAUUUCCAUUUACUCUAUGUCUUCUGGUCUCACAGGAUGAGGCAGAGGUAUAAUUAAUUCCUUCUCCAUCUCUCUGCAAAGAGCAUUUCUCAUACCUGUGACAAAGGAGAA